This is a non-coding RNA of Picea glauca (white spruce), 71 nucleotides long. Lineage: Eukaryota; Viridiplantae; Streptophyta; Pinopsida; Pinales; Pinaceae. The record is from Rfam.
GCGCAUCUGGUGUAGUGGUAUCAUAGUACCCUCCCACGGUACUGACGAGGGUUCGAUUCCUUGGAUGGGCA